GACGAACGCUGGCGGCGUGCUUAACACAUGCAAGUCGAACGGUAAGGCCCCUUCGGGGGUACACGAGUGGCGAACGGGUGAGUAACACGUGAGCAACCUGCCCUUGACUCUGGAAUAACAGUUGGAAACAGCUGCUAAUACUGGAUAUUCAUCGUCUCCUUCCUGGGGGGUGGUGGAAAGCUCCGGCGGUCAGGGAUGGGCUCGCGGCCUAUCAGCUUGCUGGUGAGGUAAUGGCUCACCAAGGCUUCGACGGGUAGCCGGCCUGAGAGGGCGACCGGCCACACUGGGACUGAGAUACGGCCCAGACUCCUACGGGAGGCAGCAGUGGGGAAUAUUGCACAAUGGGCGCAAGCCUGAUGCAGCAACGCCGCGUGCGGGAUGACGGCCUUCGGGUUGUAAACCGCUUUCAGUAGGGACGAAGGGUGACUGACGGUACCUACAGAAGAAGGACCGGCUAACUACGUG
Molecule: ribosomal RNA, 465 nt
Filed under: uncultured bacterium
Lineage: Bacteria
Description: partial 16S ribosomal RNA
Rfam family: Bacterial small subunit ribosomal RNA
Source: RNAcentral